AAAACUUUCAGGUUUUCAUCCAUCCGUUGUCUAGACCCGUUUUUCUUUGGAGGGUCACAUGGGGGUUUGGGUGGAGAUUGUCAGUGGGUACACCCUGGGAAGGUCACAGAUCAGGCGCCCUAUAGAAAGCUGACAGCCCACCUCAGGGCAAACUCAGAGACAUCCCUCUCGCACUGAAGAGCAGUAGUACAGUCUUCAUUUCCCCUAACAUGCAUGCUUGGUACCAGAGUACCUGGAGUAAACCUACGCCUGCACAGGGAGAACAUGCAAACGCUUCACACAAAGCAGCCCUCCGGGAUUGGAACCCUGGAUCUUCUUGUUCUGAAGCAAGUUCCUCAUUUCGAAAAUCACUCUGAGCCAUGGCUGCAUGCAACCAGAAAACACCAAACCCACACGCCGUGAUUCCCCACUGAACCACGAUCCAGUCCGGUUUUAUCCAUUUUGAUUUCUGAACUGCAGGCAUGCUGGUUCGUAGCUAAUUACUAAUAAAUGAUAAAUCACA
Long non-coding RNA from Girardinichthys multiradiatus, 502 nucleotides. RefSeq lists it as uncharacterized. The record is from RefSeq and is a predicted model, not a curated record. The transcript has 2 exons. Lineage: Eukaryota; Metazoa; Chordata; Actinopteri; Cyprinodontiformes; Goodeidae.